RNAcentral lists this ribosomal RNA (395 nucleotides) under uncultured bacterium. RNAcentral describes it as "partial 16S ribosomal RNA". It matches the Rfam family "Bacterial small subunit ribosomal RNA", at positions 338 to 730 of the family's 1533-position model. The record is from RNAcentral.
CCUACGGGGGGCAGCAGUGAGGAAUAUUGGUCAAUGGUCGGGAGACUGAACCAGCCAAGCCGCGUGAGGGAGGAAGGUACAGAGUAUCGUAAACCUCUUUUGUCAGGGAACAAAGACUGGGACGCGUCCCCGGAUGAGUGUACCUGAAGAAAAAGCAUCGGCUAACUCCGUGCCAGCAGCCGCGGUAAUACGGAGGAUGCGAGCGUUAUCCGGAUUUCUUGGGUUUAAAGGGUGCGGAGGCGGUCUGUUAAGUCAGCGGUGAAAGACCGGGGGUCAACCCUGGCACGGCCGUGGAAACUGGGAGUCUCGAGUAGGUGUGAGGUAGGCGGAAUGCGCGGUGUAGCGGUGAAAUGCAUAGAUAUCACGCAGAACCCCGAUUGCGAAGGCAGCAUGCC